UACGUAGGGUGCAAGCGUUAAUCGGAAUUACUGGGCGUAAAGCGUGCGCAGGCGGUUUUGUAAGUCUGUCGUGAAAUCCCCGGGCUUAACCUGGGAAUGGCAUUUGUGACUGGAAGGCUAGAGUGUGUCAGAGGGGGGUAGAACUCCACGUGUAGCAGUGAAAUGCGUAGAGAUGUGGAGGAAUACCGAUGGCGAAGGCAGCCCCCUGGGUCAAGAUUGACGCUCAUGCACGAAAGCGUGGGGAGCAAACAGG
This 253-nucleotide ribosomal RNA is filed under the name uncultured bacterium. Its description in RNAcentral is "partial 16S ribosomal RNA". It matches the Rfam family "Bacterial small subunit ribosomal RNA", at positions 524 to 776 of the family's 1533-position model. The record is from RNAcentral.